Molecule: non-coding RNA, 107 nt
Organism: Acanthosepion pharaonis
Lineage: Eukaryota; Metazoa; Mollusca; Cephalopoda; Sepiida; Sepiidae
Source: the annotation of a GenBank genome assembly
UACGGCGAAAUCACGUUGAAACAUUGGUUUUCCUACGAUCACCGAAGUUAAGCAACGUCGAUCCUGGUCAGUACUUAGAUGGUUGACCACUCGGGGAUACCAAGUGC